RNAcentral lists this ribosomal RNA (847 nucleotides) under uncultured bacterium. Its description in RNAcentral is "bacterial SSU rRNA". It matches the Rfam family "Bacterial small subunit ribosomal RNA", at positions 56 to 902 of the family's 1533-position model. The record is from RNAcentral.
UGCAGUCGAGGGGUAACAGGAAGUGCUUGCACUUCGCUGACGACCGGCGCACGGGUGAGUAUCGCGUAUACAAUCUGCCUCAUACUAGGGAAUAGCCCGAAGAAAUUUGGAUUAAUGCCCUAUAGUAUCUUUUUAAGGCAUCUUAUUAAGAUUAAAGGUUACGGUAUGAGAUGAGUAUGCGUUCUAUUAGCUAGUAGGUGUGGUAACGGCACACCUAGGCUACGAUAGAUAGGGGCCCUGAGAGGGGGAUCCCCCACACUGGUACUGAGACACGGACCAGACUCCUACGGGAGGCAGCAGUAAGGAAUAUUGGUCAAUGGACGAAAGUCUGAACCAGCCAUGCCGCGUGCAGGAUGACUGCCCUAUGGGUUGUAAACUGCUUUUAUAUAAGAAGAAAAACUUUCUCGUGAGAAAGCUUGACGGUACUAUAAGAAUAAGGAUCGGCUAACUCCGUGCCAGCAGCCGCGGUAAUACGGAGGAUCCAAGCGUUAUCCGGAAUCAUUGGGUUUAAAGGGUCCGUAGGUGGACAAAUAAGUCAGAGGUGAAAUCCUGCAGCUCAACUGUAGAACUGCCUUUGAUACUGUUUGUCUUGAGUUAUUAUGAAGUGGUUAGAAUGUGUAGUGUAGCGGUGAAAUGCGUAGAUAUUACACAGAAUACCGAUUGCGAAGGCAGAUCACUAAUAAUUAACUGACACUGAUGGACGAAAGCGUGGGUAGCGAACAGGAUUAGAUACCCUGGUAGUCCACGCCGUAAACGAUGGUCACUAGCUGUGUGGACUUCGGUCUGAGUGGCUAAGCGAAAGUGAUAAGUGACCCACCUGGGGAGUACGUUCGCAAGAAUGAAACUC